UUGGAGGGCAAGUCUGGUGCCAGCAGCCGCGGUAAUUCCAGCUCCAAUAGCGUAUAUUAAAGUUGUUGCAGUUAAAAAGCUCGUAGUUGAAUUUCGGGACCAAUUUGUUGGUCGUGCCUCGGUACGUACUGGUAUUAUUGGUUUCUCCCUUCUGAAGAACCUUGAUGUCAUUAAUUUGGUGUCUUGGGGAAUCAGGACUGUUACUUUGAAAAAAUUAAAGUGGUUAAAGCAGGCAA
RNAcentral lists this ribosomal RNA (236 nucleotides) under uncultured Septoglomus. RNAcentral's name for it is "partial small subunit ribosomal RNA". It matches the Rfam family "Eukaryotic small subunit ribosomal RNA", at positions 548 to 787 of the family's 1831-position model. The record is from RNAcentral. Lineage: Eukaryota; Fungi; Glomeromycota; Glomeromycetes; Glomerales; Glomeraceae.